GACGAACGCUGGCGGCGUGCUUAACACAUGCAAGUCGAACGGAAAGGCCCUGCUCUUGUGGGGUGCUCGAGUGGCGAACGGGUGAGUAACACGUGAGUAACCUGCCCUUGACUUUGGGAUAACUUCAGGAAACUGGGGCUAAUACCGGAUAGGAGCUCCUGCUGCAUGGUGGGGGUUGGAAAGUUUCGGCGGUUGGGGAUGGACACGCGGCUUAUCAGCUUGUUGGUGGGGUAGUGGCUUACCAAGGCUUUGACGGGUAGCCGGCCUGAGAGGGUGGCCGGCCACAUUGGGACUGAGGUACGGCCCAGACUCCUACGGGAGGCAGCAGUGGUGAAUAUUGCACAAUGGGCGGAAGCCUGAUGCAGCAACGCCGCGUGCGGGAUGACGGCCUUCGGGUUGUAGACCGCUUUCGCCUGUGACGAAGCGUGAGUGACGGUAAUGGGUAAAGAAGCACCGGCUAACUACGUG
This 468-nucleotide ribosomal RNA is filed under the name uncultured bacterium. Its description in RNAcentral is "partial 16S ribosomal RNA". It matches the Rfam family "Bacterial small subunit ribosomal RNA", at positions 28 to 507 of the family's 1533-position model. The record is from RNAcentral.